Molecule: ribosomal RNA, 502 nt
Filed under: uncultured bacterium
Lineage: Bacteria
Description: partial 16S ribosomal RNA
Rfam family: Bacterial small subunit ribosomal RNA
Source: RNAcentral
AUUGAACGCUGGCGGAAUGCUUUACACAUGCAAGUCGAACGGCAGCACGGGUGCUUGCACCUGGUGGCGAGUGGCGAACGGGUGAGUCACAUAUCGGAACGUGCCCAGUAAUGGGGGAUAACUCACCGAAAGGUUAGCUAAUACCGCAUACGCCCUGAGGGGGAAAGCGGGGGAUCGCAAGACCUCGCGUUAUUGGAGCGGCCGAUAUCUGAUUAGCUAGUUGGUGGGGUAAAGGCCUACCAAGGCGACGAGCAGUAGCAGGCCUGAGCGGAUGAUACGCCACACUGGAACUGAGCCGCGGAACAGCCUCCUGCGGGAGGCAGCAGUGGGGAGUUUUGACCAAGGGGGAACACCCUGUUCCAGCCAUUACGCGUGAGGAAAGAGGGCCUCCGGGUGGUAAAGCUCUUUCGGCAGCGAAGGGACGGUUCUGGGUAAGACCCGGAGCGAAUGACGGUACCUGAAAAAGAAGCAGCGUCUAGCUACGGGCCAGCAGCCGCCGUAA